Molecule: long non-coding RNA, 815 nt
Filed under: Olea europaea subsp. europaea
Lineage: Eukaryota; Viridiplantae; Streptophyta; Magnoliopsida; Lamiales; Oleaceae
Source: RNAcentral
UCUUUCUCAACAUGGAAAGGUCCAAUUUCCUCAGUUAAUCCAUAUGCAAUAGAUGAACAUCCAGGCCUUGAACAUAGCUAAAGAGUCAGAAACAAGUUUCCACGUUGGCUACAAAUUACAUCUCGCCAAAAUAAAUUACAAUGGAAAUAACAUAAAUGGAGAGAACUCCGCAGUAUCAAAUUUGAUAACUAACUAAAAAGAGAAAAGGAGUACAAAUCCAAGAUGGAGUUUAUAUAAGUUAUUGAAGUUUAUAAUUGAGAAUAGGGAAGAAAUAAAUAGCACUAUAUUUCUUGAAAUAAUUUCAUAGCUAAUGAUAAAACGUUUUAGAAAUUUCAACUAAUAAUAUUGGCCCAGAAUGAUCAUCAGGAUGCUCUUUUAGCUUAGAAAUAAUAUCACAAUUUCAUGAGCAAAAUCACAUGAUUCUAUGUACGUAUCUCCCAAUAUCAUAACAAAUUUUAAGUACUCUAAAACAAAGUCAAAGGAAGGGGAAAAAAUGAAUUGCACAUUCCUGGAGGCUAAUAGUAAUGAAUUAACAUUAACAAAAUAAAAAAUUAAAGUUUUGAACAAAUUUGAUUUAAAAGAGGAAGGGUCAGACUAAAUUGACCUCCAUUGAGCCAAAGAACAAUAGGCUUGGAAGAAGGGUCCUCGUCGGCCUCAAAGAACCAAUAAAAUAGUGCUUUCCCGGAUUCCCUAUUAACUGUAACAUGGCCUGCAUAAUGUGCAAAACUCACAUUAAAAUUCUACCCUGGAAGCUCCCAGACUCUAUCUAGUUGCUGCUGGGCAUAUGGGAAGAAAUUGGGAGUGAGUGAGAACAC